RNAcentral lists this long non-coding RNA (211 nucleotides) under Nicotiana benthamiana. RNAcentral describes it as "long non-coding RNA (NBEN_LNC031116)". Lineage: Eukaryota; Viridiplantae; Streptophyta; Magnoliopsida; Solanales; Solanaceae. The record is from RNAcentral.
GUCGUCGGUGAAGAUGGAAACCCUAAUUUCCGUCACUGGAGAAGAAGAGGGGUCGUUGGUCGAGCUCUUUUUUUAAUUUCCGUCACUGGAAAGUGGAAACCCUAAUUUCCAGGACUGGUCGAGCUCUUUUUUUAACUGGUCGAUCGAUUUUUUCAGGAAAUCGAUCGCUUCGCCUCGCCUCGCUUUUCACUGUUAAUCGAUCGCUUCUGUU